RNAcentral lists this ribosomal RNA (301 nucleotides) under uncultured bacterium. RNAcentral's name for it is "partial 16S ribosomal RNA". It matches the Rfam family "Bacterial small subunit ribosomal RNA", at positions 509 to 807 of the family's 1533-position model. The record is from RNAcentral.
CAGCAGCCGCGGUAAUACGAAGGGGGCUAGCGUUGCUCGGAAUGACUGGGCGUAAAGGGCGCGUAGGCGGAUGGCACAGUCAGAUGUGAAAUUCCCGGGCUUAACCUGGGGGCUGCAUUUGAUACGUGUUGUCUAGAGUGAGGAAGAGGGUCGUGGAAUUCCCAGUGUAGAGGUGAAAUUCGUAGAUAUUGGGAAGAACACCGGUGGCGAAGGCGGCGACCUGGUCCUUUACUGACGCUGAGGCGCGAAAGCGUGAGGAGCAAACAGGAUUAGAUACCCCCGUAGUCCCUGUCUCUUAUAC